GUGAGUCAUCGAAUCUUUGAACGCAAAUUGCGCUUGAGGCUUCGGCCAAGAGCAUGUCUGGCUCAGCGUCGGCUUACUACCCUCAAUCAAUUACCAUGUGGUACUUGAUUGGAGCUGGCUUUCCGGUUUUCCAUCUAGGUUGCCGGUCAGCUGAAAAACAUUCGCGCUGUGGAAGCUGCUUUCCCUUAAACAAGGAGAGCCGAGUUCCGAUUUGGUAGGUGACCUUUGCCGGUUGCAUGCCUUCGUUGCUCGCCAUGGUUUCCAUGAUAGCGUGUGCAGGACGCCUUUUGGCUUUCGACC
RNAcentral lists this unclassified non-coding RNA (300 nucleotides) under uncultured fungus. RNAcentral describes it as "sequence contains 5.8S rRNA gene, ITS2". The stretch from base 1 to 71 matches the Rfam family "5.8S ribosomal RNA", at positions 84 to 154 of the family's 154-position model. Lineage: Eukaryota; Fungi. The record is from RNAcentral.